Molecule: long non-coding RNA, 5316 nt
Filed under: Pan troglodytes (chimpanzee)
Lineage: Eukaryota; Metazoa; Chordata; Mammalia; Primates; Hominidae
Description: long non-coding RNA NONPTRT002110
Source: RNAcentral
GAAAUGCUAAAGUGCAAAUGUAGGGUUUUAUUUAUUUAUUUAUUUAUUUUUAUUUAUUUUGAGACAAGGUCUCACUCUGUCACCCAGGCUGCAGUGCAGUGACACCAUCACAGCUCACUGCAAACUUGAUCUCCUGGACUCAAGCCAUCCGCCCACGUCAGCCCCCCAAAGUGCUCAGAUUAUACGCAUGAGUCACCACAUCAGACCCUGCAAAUGUAGAUUUUUGAAAAAACAACUGCAACAUUUUAGCCCUUUUUAAAAUCAGGACCCCUAGGUCUUUCCCAAUAUAACUAACCAGCCAGUGAUUCCUCACUCACCUACCUUUUUUUUUUUUUUUUUUUUUUUUUUUUUUUUGAUACGGAGUCGCACUCUGUCACCCAGGCUGGAGCGCAGUGGCGCGAUCUUGGCUCGAUGCAACCUCCGCCUCCCGGGUUCAAGCGAUUCUUCUGCCUCAGCCUCCCGAGUAGCUCGGACUAUAAGUACCCGUCACCACGCCCGGCUAAUUUUUGUAUGUUUAGUAGAAAUGGGGUUUCGCCGUAUUGGCCAGGCUGGUCUCGAACCCCUGACCUUGCUAUCCACCCACCUCAGCCUCCCAAAGUGUUGGGAUUACAGGCAUGAGCCACCGCGCUCAGCCCACUCUCUUUUAAAUGCAGAUCUUCUGUGGGAGGAUUAAGUCACUGAGCCCACAGGGAACUGUGCUGGGAGUGGAAGUGGAGGGUGUGGAAAGCCGGUGGAAAACAAAUCUGUGGAUAGCCUGUAGGGCAGAUGCCUGAGGCUUGGGGAGACUGGGAAAGCAGGUCUCUAAAAGGAACUUCAUCCUUUUUCUCCUAGGCCUCAGAUGAUGCUAGAGUCCUGCCAGAAAUUGCAAAUGAUUCUGGCUCACUUUUGUAUUAGCGUAGGUGCGUAGCCCAGAGUCUAGAAGAGCAACAACAACGACAAUAAAAUUCAGUCUGUCCUUGAGGCAUUUUCAUGAGAUAAUAUUAAAUAUAUAAUUAAAUACUACUCAUUGUUUUUUCUCACAAAUAUAUACCCACCACCUACCAGGAACUGUCCCAGAAAUUGAUGAGGAAAAAAUGAUUUUUACGCCAUAACUAAUCAUACCGUAAUAUGCACUAGAAUAAGCAAAGAACGUAAAAUAGUAUAUCAUGGGGACAUUCGAAUUUAUAAUCCUAGGAGUGACAUGUAAGCUGGGCUUGAAAGAAUAACCAUAAUUUUGCUGAACUAAUAAGUAGGUUGUGGAAGAGAGUGCUAGCUGAUUAGGAAAACCUCUGCUCUCCUAAGCACGCAGUUAAACGGUGUUUUCCAUACGUUUUUUGCCGUUAAGUGUGGUCAUGUGACUGAGUUCUAACCAAUUAGAAUGAGACGGCAAGGGAUGUGUAGCUUUUUCAAUCCUGGCCAUAACAUUCUUCUUCAUGCGCUUCUCAAUGUCCUUUCUCCUUUCAUUAGGUAAAAUGGAGAUGAUCCCCAGGGCCAUCUUGGAAGCAGUUUUUGAAGUUGGUAGAGUCUCGGGCCCGCUUAACUGCUGAAAGAGUAGGAAGGGGUCCGUUUCAUUAGCACGUUCAACCAAAAAGCGCUGUUAGGUGAGCAAAAACAAACCAGUUGUGUCUGAGCCAACACCCGUUUGUCUAUGGGUUGUAGCAGUUGGUCCACCUAAUCAAGGAAGUGCCGAGAGCACAGGACAUGAAAAGACACAGCGCUAAGGUACAUGGCACGUUCACAAAGGUACAGGUUUCCUGCACCACAAGGUUCCUUUCACUUACAAAAAAAUUUUUUUUAUAUUACACCAUCUUUAUUUGUACCUUCAGUAAGAACAGUUUCAGCAUCAACUAAUGAACAGUAGCCAAACCAGAGAGCAGUCAAAAGUGUUUUAAAGGGAGCAGCAUCAGCUGAUGUUCUGCCAAGUCUCUGGGUGUCCAGGACCAUGGUCCCCCGGCACUUCCAGGCCCCUGUGGGCUGCAGGUGGAUCCCCAGGAGCCAAAGGGCCUCUCAGGAAAGGGUGGAACUUGGCCUCGCAGUCAGCUGGCUUCUGCCUAUUAUGGUCAUCUUCUUUCCAGAGGUCUUGCUAUCUCAGUGGACAUGGCGGUCAUCCAGCCGUCCUGGGCUGUUUUCUCAUAGAAGAGGAUCUCCCUCUGAAAACUGUGUCAUCCUUCAAUUCCUGGGCCAAGUCUGGGGACACAUCUUUUCUUAAAGCCUGCUGAUAUGACGAGCAGUUCCCAUUUUCCUGCACUUUACGAAGUCUCUGAGGUGCAAGCAGUAGACAUCCUUCUCCAUGGACUCCCCCUGAGGCUGCUUCAUGUGUUUUCAGGGCAGUUCAGGCAGAUCGGAAACCACUGGCUGCAGCUUCGGGAUGUCCCUCUCCAGCUGUGCCCUUGAACCCUGCAGAGAGACCUGCUCGCUGAGCAGACCUUGGACUUGUGCUGUGAGUUCUGUACUCCUUUGGGUUUCUUCUCACAAUCGUAUGUCUGCUUUACCAGUCUUUCCCUCGGGACAUUCGAAGGAAGCACCUAAAUUACCAUUGUCAUCCAUGCUUUCAGAGGGACUUGCGGCCACGAUGCUGGGGGACCACCCUGUUCUGCUUCCCUGUUCCCCUCCACUGCCAAGUCCUCAUUUUCCAUGUCGUCUUUCCUGGUGCAGAUGAAGGGUGCUCAGCAGAGCGUGAGCCACCAGGGAAGCCACUCGCCUACUCCAGUUCGAAUAUUGGGGACUUGAGGCCUUCUUGUCUUUUUUGUGUGUGUGUGGCGUCUGAUUUACAACUUCUUGGUCGGGCAGCUCUGCGGGUUGCUGAUGGUCCAUGCUGUCAUUCACAUCGUCCGUGGUGUGCACUGGAAGAUCUCCAUGCUGUGAAGCGUGUAGGAUGUGCUUCACAUCAGUCACUUGGGGAAGUUCAGGAGGCUGCUUUUUCAUGCUUUUUUCAGAAGCUCACCUAGGUUAGGUCCUGAUCGAAAAACCUGCUCAUUUCCAUUAGAACCUUCAAGCAGAGUGUUUGGAGCAAUCAAGGACUGGCCCCAGCAUGGAUAAUAGGUAGCUACCACAGGUGUCGGCUGCUGGCUGCAUCUUGGCGCAGGCCUUUCUGUGGGCCUCACCUUAGACUGAAGCCCUUUGGGCCAGCCCUUCCCUCCUUCUCACUGCGUGUCGUCUCCUGACCAGAGAGGCCAUCACAGCGGUGCACGCCCAGCUCACCCAGAGUAUCCCUAGGGUCGCUGGCACUGGUCCCAGGAUUCUGUACAUCACUAAUUACUGCUGCCCACAGGUGGGCCAGCAGCAGUUGAGGAGGCAUUUCGUGGUGAGCAGCAGGUCCUUCGUGGCUCUUGAGGGCUCCACAGCUCUUCCUCUUUUCUCUACUGGUAUGUGGGCCACAACUGACCACUCAGAACCCUGCAGAGUGUUCCACCUCUAACACAAACAAGGGCUCGCCAACCAGGGUAAACCAUCCAUUAAGCUGGGGGAGGAAAGGCACCGCAAAUUCUAGAAAACUGUGUCCCUGAUUUUGCUGUGCAAAUAGAAAGUGACAUUACUUAACACAGUGCCUUGGAAGAGGGGAAAGAGUUCACGGCAAUCCCCAGCUCAGGCCACUCCAGGUCCCACCUGGCCUUACAGCAUAGCUAGAGGGUCAAAGCCAGUCAAAGCCCCGUGUCCACGCCUGAUCCUCUCAGGGCAGCGUGAUGGCCCGUCCCUGGUGGGGCUCAUUACCCUGAUUUCAAGUUUCCUUCUGCUACAGGGAAGCCUGGUCCCGCCUACAAAGAGACUGUCUACCUUGCUAGAUUGAACUAUAGGACUAUGUUUUCUUCAUCUCUGUAACCCCAGCAGCUCUCCAGAGACCCUUAUACACUAGGGGCAUGGUCAUUGCUUGUCUUGUUUUCUUGUUGACUCUAGACUGACUGAAGGCACGUCGCUUUCCCCUCUAGAUCUCCAUAUUCAGAUCUGUGAAUGACAGUAAGUGGGUGAAGGCCCCUCUAGCUUUAAAACCCCUCCAAUACAGAGAGAACACUGAAACCGCAAGCAGAAGCUGAGUGUGGUGAGUGGAGCAUUUUCCCUGGCAUGAUGGAGGGGACCUAUGGAUCUGGCUAUGAGGGUGGCAUCUGGCCACUUGAAUGGCUCUGCAGAGCUGGACCCUAGUUUUCAAAUCAGACUCAAGAAUGAUUUUAGUGUGGGUGGUUUUGUGGGGCAUAUAUUGUUUGAGACUUUGUUAUUGACACAACAGCUUCUGGAAGUCUUUUUGACAGAGAGUAUGCGCAGGUGCGGCCUCCAUCUGCUCGGCAGCCACUGUCUGGUGACGGUGAGCGCUGAGAGCUGGAUGGUCCUGUUAGAAAGGCAGCAUGCCAGCCUCCGGUGAUGAGCAGAGUGACCCGACCUUGUCUCUCCUUCCCCGUGGAGCACUGCAGGCUCUUCCCCAGACCUGCUUCUAGGCUUCCCUUCACCCGCUCCCACCAGGCAGCUGAGGCCACUCUAGGAUUCCAUUUUUAGUUGUACUUUUUUUUAAUUGAUCAUUUUGUGAGCAUUUUUCUCUCUAAUGCAACAGAACUAGCACAAGUCCUUAAAAAUGUAGGAUCUCUCAGCUCCCACAAAAACACAGAUGAUGGCCUAUGUAAUUCUCUACAUAUUUAAAUUGUUAGCUCUAAAAAUAGAUUCAGAGAAAGGGUGGACACAUGUUCCAAUUUUCUCAUAACAGUCCUGGGUUGUGCCUGUUAUCCUGGCAUAGUUAUUAAUCCUGUCCCCUUUCACUCUCAGACUCUCCUGGUUUGGAGGAUAAUUUCAUUCUAUUCAAAGAGGAAAUCUACAAAAAGGUGUCAUCAUCUAACCUGUACUCAUAUAAACAUUUUCCAGUCUCACGGUUCUGUGUACCUCUCCAAACCCCUCAAUCUUCUAAUCAUUUUGUGUAUUAUUUAUAGGAAAAGAGCACCAGCUAAAAUAUCUUGCCCUUGGAUUUCUUCAGCCAGCUGCUGAAGUAAUUUGUCUUAGUCUUUACUGAAGACUGAAUUGUAUCAUUAAGACUUUCUUCUAAGUCCUGUUAUUUUGACUUUUUGACUCACUCUGUGCCCUCUGAUACAUAAAGUAGCAAUAAUUUGUACAAUGAACCAUUGUAUUUGUUCACAAGAAAUUCUUCCUGUUCCUCACAUUUCUAUUCAUUUUCCUGAAGGUAUGUAUUUGAAAACUUGAAAAAUUGCCUGGCCCGGUUAUAGUUUAAUGGGAGCAUUUAAACAUACUUUUCCUACAAAGCUUAUCAGUUAGUUACUUAACCUUUAUGAAUAGGUUAAAUAUUUUCCACAGUAUUUAUAUAAAUAUGAUACUUGGUUUCAAGUUAAAUCUAAUAAAAAG